GCAUUGGUGGUUCAGUGGUAGAAUCCUGGCCUCCCACGCAGGAGACCAGGGUCCGAUACUCGGCCAAUGCA
Molecule: transfer RNA, 71 nt
Filed under: Danio rerio (zebrafish)
Lineage: Eukaryota; Metazoa; Chordata; Actinopteri; Cypriniformes; Danionidae
Rfam family: tRNA
About the family: Transfer RNA (tRNA) molecules are approximately 80 nucleotides in length. Their secondary structure includes four short double-helical elements and three loops (D, anti-codon, and T loops). Further hydrogen bonds mediate the characteristic L-shaped molecular structure. tRNAs have two regions of fundamental functional importance: the anti-codon, which is responsible for specific mRNA codon recognition, and the 3' end, to which the tRNAs corresponding amino acid is attached (by aminoacyl-tRNA synthetases). tRNAs cope with the degeneracy of the genetic code in two manners: having more than one tRNA (with a specific anti-codon) for a particular amino acid; and 'wobble' base-pairing, i.e. permitting non-standard base-pairing at the 3rd anti-codon position.
Source: Rfam by way of RNAcentral